Molecule: ribosomal RNA, 497 nt
Filed under: uncultured bacterium
Lineage: Bacteria
Description: partial 16S ribosomal RNA
Rfam family: Bacterial small subunit ribosomal RNA
Source: RNAcentral
GAUGAACGCUGGCGGCGUGCCUAAUACAUGCAAGUCGAGCGAACAGACGAGGAGCUUGCUCCUCUGACGUUAGCGGCGGACGGGUGAGUAACACGUGGAUAACCUACCUAUAAGACUGGGAUAACUUCGGGAAACCGGAGCUAAUACCGGAUGAUAUAUUGAACCGCAUGGUUCAAUAGUGAAAGACGGUUUUGCUGUCACUUAUAGAUGGAUCCGCGCCGCAUUAGCUAGUUGGUAAGGUAACGGCUUACCAAGGCAACGAUGCGUAGCCGACCUGAGAGGGGGAACGGCCACACUGGAACUGAGACACGGUCCAGACUCCGACGGGAGGCAGCAGUAGGGAAUCUUCCGCAAUGGGCGAAAGCCUGACGGAGCAACGCCGCGUGAGUGAUGAAGGUCUUCGGAUCGUAAAACUCUGUUAUUAGGGAAGAACAAAUGUGUAAGUAACUAUGCACGUCUUGACGGUACCUAAUCAGAAAGCCACGGCUAACUACGUG